This 84-nucleotide non-coding RNA is filed under the name Anaerobacillus arseniciselenatis. Its description in RNAcentral is "c-di-GMP-II sequence". It matches the Rfam family "Cyclic di-GMP-II riboswitch aptamer". Lineage: Bacteria; Bacillati; Bacillota; Bacilli; Caryophanales; Bacillaceae. The record is from Rfam by way of RNAcentral.
CCAAAUAAUGGAUGUUAUGAUCGUUCAUCUGUACGUGGGCACUUAGAUGAUCAGGAGCAAGUAGUGCAACCGACCAAAUUUUGU